UUCGAAAAAACAAAAUUUUACAAAAUCGUAAUCCGACAAAAACAUUUAGUUGAUUUGAUGCAUAUGUUACAUAAAUCAUUCACCUAUAUAAUGCUUACAGUAUUGUUGAUAAGUGGAAUACAUUUAAUUAUAAUCAUCAUGAUAUUUAUAGCGCUAAAAAAUCACGAUAUUAGUUCGGUAAUCCGAGAUGCUGCUGGGACAAUUUUGUAUUUUUUUUCUCAAAUAUUUAUAUACUGCUAUGCUGGGGAAAAAUUGAAAUCGGCUAUGCAAGAGUCAUGUUUUUCAGUGUUUAGCUGUUAUUGGUAUAACUUUCCAACGAAGAAUUGUAAGGAUAUAAAAUAUAUUAUGCUAAGAACUAGUCAAGAAUUCCAUUUAACGGCAGGAAAAUUUUAUCGUAUGAAUUUGGAAAAUUUUAUAACCCGGGUCGAAAAAUUUAAACUGAUUUUAAGCUAAAUGAUCUGCAUUUGAACUUAUUGAUCUGUAUUUGAACUUU
Molecule: long non-coding RNA, 493 nt
Organism: Cotesia glomerata
Lineage: Eukaryota; Metazoa; Arthropoda; Insecta; Hymenoptera; Braconidae
Exons: 2
Source: RefSeq, a predicted model, not a curated record